AUCUGCAGCCCAUACUACCCCGAACAUGCCUGAUCUCAUCUGAUCUCAGAAACUAAGCAGGGUCGGGCUUGGUUAGUACUUGCAUGGGAGACCAACUGAGAAUACCAGGUGCUAUAGGUU
This 120-nucleotide ribosomal RNA is filed under the name Castor canadensis (American beaver). The record is from RNAcentral. Lineage: Eukaryota; Metazoa; Chordata; Mammalia; Rodentia; Castoridae.